RNAcentral lists this ribosomal RNA (435 nucleotides) under uncultured Actinomycetes bacterium. Its description in RNAcentral is "bacterial SSU rRNA". It matches the Rfam family "Bacterial small subunit ribosomal RNA", at positions 958 to 1384 of the family's 1533-position model. The record is from RNAcentral. Lineage: Bacteria; Bacillati; Actinomycetota; Actinomycetes.
AACGCGAAGAACCUUACCAGCCCUUGACAUGGCAGGACGAUUUCCGGAGACGGAUUUCUUCACUUCGGUGACCUGCACACAGGUGCUGCAUGGCUGUCGUCAGCUCGUGUCGUGAGAUGUUGGGUUAAGUCCCGCAACGAGCGCAACCCUUGUCCUGUUUUGGCAUGUGCCACGAAAGUGGCGCGCAACUAUCAGGAGACCGCCAGCGAUAAGUUGGAGGAAGGUGGGGAUGACGUCAAGUCAUCAUGGCCUUUAUGUCCAGGGCUACACACGUGCUACAAUGGGCGGUACAAAGCGCCGCUAACCCGCGAGGGGGAGCUAAUCGCAAAAAACCGUCCUCAGUUCGGAUCGCAGGCUGCAACCCGCCUGCGUGAAGCUGGAAUCGCUAGUAAUGGCAUAUCAGAACGAUGCCGUGAAUACGUUCCCGGGCCUUGU